AAAGUGUUGAAAUGAAAAAUGAAAAUGACCUAACAGAAUUUAAGUGAUUCUGUCACGCACUGUUCGCGGGGCGAAUAGUGUUCGCGGCGCGACCUGAGACUCUUCAUUCAGUUCGCGGCGCGAACUGGGGUUGCGGGGCGAACUAUGAAAAACAGAACCUCAAAUUCUAAGAUUUUAACAGAGAUGAACAUCAAUGCAGCAGAGAAAAAUAAAAUGCAAACUUACGACGUUGGGUUGC
This 238-nucleotide long non-coding RNA is filed under the name Lathyrus oleraceus (garden pea). RNAcentral's name for it is "Pisum sativum (pea) long non-coding RNA (PSAT_LNC010049)". The record is from RNAcentral. Lineage: Eukaryota; Viridiplantae; Streptophyta; Magnoliopsida; Fabales; Fabaceae.